GGGACUAUAGCUCAGCCGGCUAGAGCGCACGCCUGAUAAGCGUGAGGCCGGUGGUUCAAGUCCACCUAGUCCCC
This 74-nucleotide transfer RNA is filed under the name Peptococcaceae bacterium MAG4. RNAcentral's name for it is "tRNA-Ile". It matches the Rfam family "tRNA". From Rfam's summary of the family: Transfer RNA (tRNA) molecules are approximately 80 nucleotides in length. The record is from RNAcentral. Lineage: Bacteria; Bacillati; Bacillota; Clostridia; Eubacteriales; Peptococcaceae.